This 789-nucleotide ribosomal RNA is filed under the name bacterium EAB-2EM58.13. RNAcentral's name for it is "bacterial SSU rRNA". It matches the Rfam family "Bacterial small subunit ribosomal RNA", at positions 18 to 788 of the family's 1533-position model. The record is from RNAcentral.
CCCCGCUCAGGAUGAACGCUGGCGGCGUGCCUAAUACAUGCAGUCGAGCGAAUGGAUUGAGAGCUUGCUCUCAAGAAGUUAGCGGCGGACGGGUGAGUAACACGUGGGUAACCUGCCCAUAAGACUGGGAUAACUCCGGGAAACCGGGGCUAAUACCGGAUAACAUUUUGAACUGCAUGGUUCGAAAUUGAAAGGCGGCUUCGGCUGUCACUUAUGGAUGGACCCGCGUCGCAUUAGCUAGUUGGUGAGGUAACGGCUCACCAAGGCAACGAUGCGUAGCCGACCUGAGAGGGUGAUCGGCCACACUGGGACUGAGACACGGCCCAGACUCCUACGGGAGGCAGCAGUAGGGAAUCUUCCGCAAUGGACGAAAGUCUGACGGAGCAACGCCGCGUGAGUGAUGAAGGCUUUCGGGUCGUAAAACUCUGUUGUUAGGGAAGAACAAGUGCUAGUUGAAUAAGCUGGCACCUUGACGGUACCUAACCAGAAAGCCACGGCUAACUACGUGCCAGCAGCCGCGGUAAUACGUAGGUGGCAAGCGUUAUCCGGAAUUAUUGGGCGUAAAGCGCGCGCAGGUGGUUUCUUAAGUCUGAUGUGAAAGCCCACGGCUCAACCGUGGAGGGUCAUUGGAAACUGGGAGACUUGAGUGCAGAAGAGGAAAGUGGAAUUCCAUGUGUAGCGGUGAAAUGCGUAGAGAUAUGGAGGAACACCAGUGGCGAAGGCGACUUUCUGGUCUGUAACUGACACUGAGGCGCGAAAGCGUGGGGAGCAAACAGGAUUAGAUACCCU